GCGGACCGGGGUCCGCCGCCGUGGGGGGGUGGGGUGCAGUUCCUGAGACCCUACGGCUGCCGGCACCCCCCCCCCCCCCCCCCGCCGUGGGGCAUUUGCAAGGCAGGGGCGAGCGUGAGGCCUUAGGGAUAUGUGUGGUGCUGCUUUGCUGGCCCCAGCUGUGCACCGGGCCUCCCCACUGCGCACACCUGGGAACUCCUGAAGUCCUCCAAGGGCGAGCAGUGACACCCCACAGAUGUGGGCAGUGACGCCCUUCAGGCUGUGCCCAGCUCUCUGUAGGCGCCUGGUAGCCAGAUCGCUACCCUCGGGCAGAAACAGUCCCAGAAGGAGGGCUAUCCGAGAACUGCAGGCCUGCGCCAGCCGCCUUGGCUUCCACUGUGGAACACUCUGUCAGGGCAGGGAGGGCUCUCCUCUCUGGGGUCCCCUGGUCUUGUGUGGGGUCCUGUGGCUGAGGCAGGCCCUCUGCCCUCCUCCACGUGUUCGGUGGGGGAGUGGAAUGACUUUUAACAUCCAAGCAAAAUUAAACUGUCGUCUCUGGUUUGGGA
Molecule: long non-coding RNA, 545 nt
Organism: Felis catus (domestic cat)
Lineage: Eukaryota; Metazoa; Chordata; Mammalia; Carnivora; Felidae
Exons: 2
Source: RefSeq, a predicted model, not a curated record